This 1554-nucleotide ribosomal RNA is filed under the name Escherichia coli. Its description in RNAcentral is "bacterial SSU rRNA". It matches the Rfam family "Bacterial small subunit ribosomal RNA". Lineage: Bacteria; Pseudomonadati; Pseudomonadota; Gammaproteobacteria; Enterobacterales; Enterobacteriaceae. The record is from RNAcentral.
UUAAAUUGAAGAGUUUGAUCAUGGCUCAGAUUGAACGCUGGCGGCAGGCCUAACACAUGCAAGUCGAACGGUAACAGGAAGCAGCUUGCUGCUUCGCUGACGAGUGGCGGACGGGUGAGUAAUGUCUGGGAAACUGCCUGAUGGAGGGGGAUAACUACUGGAAACGGUAGCUAAUACCGCAUAAUGUCGCAAGACCAAAGAGGGGGACCUUCGGGCCUCUUGCCAUCGGAUGUGCCCAGAUGGGAUUAGCUUGUUGGUGGGGUAACGGCUCACCAAGGCGACGAUCCCUAGCUGGUCUGAGAGGAUGACCAGCCACACUGGAACUGAGACACGGUCCAGACUCCUACGGGAGGCAGCAGUGGGGAAUAUUGCACAAUGGGCGCAAGCCUGAUGCAGCCAUGCCGCGUGUAUGAAGAAGGCCUUCGGGUUGUAAAGUACUUUCAGCGGGGAGGAAGGGAGUAAAGUUAAUACCUUUGCUCAUUGACGUUACCCGCAGAAGAAGCACCGGCUAACUCCGUGCCAGCAGCCGCGGUAAUACGGAGGGUGCAAGCGUUAAUCGGAAUUACUGGGCGUAAAGCGCACGCAGGCGGUUUGUUAAGUCAGAUGUGAAAUCCCCGGGCUCAACCUGGGAACUGCAUCUGAUACUGGCAAGCUUGAGUCUCGUAGAGGGGGGUAGAAUUCCAGGUGUAGCGGUGAAAUGCGUAGAGAUCUGGAGGAAUACCGGUGGCGAAGGCGGCCCCCUGGACGAAGACUGACGCUCAGGUGCGAAAGCGUGGGGAGCAAACAGGAUUAGAUACCCUGGUAGUCCACGCCGUAAACGAUGUCGACUUGGAGGUUGUGCCCUUGAGGCGUGGCUUCCGGAGCUAACGCGUUAAGUCGACCGCCUGGGGAGUACGGCCGCAAGGUUAAAACUCAAAUGAAUUGACGGGGGCCCGCACAAGCGGUGGAGCAUGUGGUUUAAUUCGAUGCAACGCGAAGAACCUUACCUGGUCUUGACAUCCACGGAAGUUUUCAGAGAUGAGAAUGUGCCUUCGGGAACCGUGAGACAGGUGCUGCAUGGCUGUCGUCAGCUCGUGUUGUGAAAUGUUGGGUUAAGUCCCGCAACGAGCGCAACCCUUAUCCUUUGUUGCCAGCGGUCCGGCCGGGAACUCAAAGGAGACUGCCAGUGAUAAACUGGAGGAAGGUGGGGAUGACGUCAAGUCAUCAUGGCCCUUACGACCAGGGCUACACACGUGCUACAAUGGCGCAUACAAAGAGAAGCGACCUCGCGAGAGCAAGCGGACCUCAUAAAGUGCGUCGUAGUCCGGAUUGGAGUCUGCAACUCGACUCCAUGAAGUCGGAAUCGCUAGUAAUCGUGGAUCAGAAUGCCACGGUGAAUACGUUCCCGGGCCUUGUACACACCGCCCGUCACACCAUGGGAGUGGGUUGCAAAAGAAGUAGGUAGCUUAACCUUCGGGAGGGCGCUUACCACUUUGUGAUUCAUGACUGGGGUGAAGUCGUAACAAGGUAACCGUAGGGGAACCUGCGGUUGGAUCACCUCCUUACCUUAAAGAA